UUAGCAAGAAAGAGAACACAAAACACCUUAAAGCGUGGGUAAGCGGUGCAUAAAAGAUCAAGAUCCACAUUGUACUUGACAAACCACCCAGAGUAGUCUCUUCCCAUCUCCAACACUUCAAAUUUAGUAAAACAAGGCGAAUAAAUAUCAAUAAGAUGCAAAUGGCUGUCACUAGACUCCUUAAAGUAUCUAUACUCCCUAGUUUCCCAGUUCUCCUCACAACGAGGAAGACCAUCAACCAAUCCAACACGCUCUUCAUCUAAGUGAUAAUAUGCCAUCUCACAAAUCCGGCCAACCCAGUGAACUGCACCGUUGCAGUAUACCCCAUCUUGGUAGGAAAUUUGACCUUGAGUUUCAAAAGAAGAAUUGACAAGACUCCAACUUUUAGUCUCAGAAGAAUAUAUCUCUAUGUUAUGGUAACUGCACCAGCCGCAUGGAGUUGGUUCAUCACGGAACCAAAGGAAGACCACCUUGUAAUGAGGUGAUUUGGAAGGGUCAAAAGCCAAAGCACAGCCGAAGAUUCGGGGUUCAGUAGUAGUGGCGGCGGCAGCAGCUGGAGGAACAAGUUUGGUGAACUGGUUGGUUGUGGGAUUGAGAACAUAAUGAUAAAGAGGUGUAAUAACUCGCCGCACGUCCGACCUGUGGAUAACAGAGUUCAGUACAAUUUCAGGAUGGCACAAGAAGAGGCCGUUGCAGGACUGGAUAAUCUUGAUGUUGUCAUGACAUACGUUCGCAAUGAAUUUCAGAGGGUUGCAGCUGGGUGAACCAGACCCUGUACUAGUAGUGCGAUCAUGAUCCAAAUCAAGAGGGAUAAAGCUAAUGUAUCUGGUGAGAUUGCAAAAGACCGCGGAAGCGGAAGGGUUCGGGUUCCGAAGGGUGUGAAGGUGACAGAACUUGGGGUCAGAGAUAAAAGAGAGCCAAUUCUUGGAGACACAUUUGAAGCGGAGCAGAAUUUGAGCUGGAACACGGACAAGGAUUUCCGAAAAGAUAUCAUCAUAGUCCCAUAUGGUUUCUGGUAAGCUGCUGCUGCUGCAGCGUUUUAGUCUCUUCAUCAUAUUGAUUUCUAUCUCAAAGGAUCUAAUUUCGCUUUAUAAGACCUGGACUCUCCUAAGUAAAAAAGGACAGAAAUCCCAGCCCAAACAGAAGACAAAAACCAACUCAAAUUGAAGGACACACAUAAGUUGAAAAGAAAAGAAAAAAAAAAAGGACAAACUUAACUUAAAUUCAAGGAUACUUGUGGAUACGUUAAAAAGGGAGGACAUUGAAUCAAUAGAAGACCAUAAGUUAACAUGCUGGGUUUUCUAAAUGGGAGAUACAUAAGUUGAAGAUUAAGGACGACUCAAUAAGCUGGCAAAUUCACGGAUAAGAAUCUCGGACUCAAUCUAGCAGGAACCAAUAGAAGGACAAAGGUUAAUUUCCGGGGUUUUCUAAUUGGAGAGAUAUACAGAUCUGAGACCCGACACCACCGAAUCCUCAAUCAAUCUUCACUCGACCCUUGUGUAAAAACAACCCAAGUCAGGCAAACAGUAAAAAUCGAAAAUCAAUCAAUUCAAUGGAAAUGAUUAUCUAUCUGACCCCAAUAAGUUUAAAUACGAGCGAAGCACUAAAUUACUUACAGAAAAGAAUGGUUUUUCUGGUUCUUGGUAUGGAUGAUGCUCUGGUUUGUCUGAGGGUUCAGUUCUCGCGGCCGCCCAGAUGGGAGAGUUGCAGGUCUAACAACACGAAGAAGAAAAGAUUUUGUCGGGGAAACAGACAUGUAGUUAAAUGCUUUGUCAGGUGGGUUUUUCUACCAAAAGCCCAAACCAAUGUAUUCAAUGUCACAAGCCCAAACCAAACAAACAAUCCGUUUCAGAUGAGAACACAAGGCAGGUAUAGUAGAAUGAGAGCAUCUUGACUCUUUAUUUUGGUUCCUUUAUAAAAUGGCUGUAUAUUAAGUGCACGUUUGUUAGACAGGAGUAUUCUGGACCUCCUCAUUUCUUAAUAUUGUCCUGAACUUGUGAGAGUAGGCUUAAGAUGCACUAAUUUUGUGCAAUGUUUGGUGGGAUAAAGGACUAAACCUCUUGUGCUAAAUAGUUAAUGUUGUUUUAUUCUGGAGAAAGGAGGAAGGGAACCAGACAACCGGUGAAUAUGUAUGGCAAACUUCCAUAUAUAAAUCAUCUUCAUGAAAAAAAAUUGAUCACUCCCUCCAACGAAGGACACAGCAAACCUCACAGGACCUCAAUCAGCAAAUUUUUGUGCUUGGAAACCUCUUCGUCCUUGAGAAAUCUUCUCAUACAUAUUAUGCAAAAUCUUAGUUUCAUUCAGUUUCAUCAUGUUCAUCAUUUGCAUGCAAUACCCAGACCUGCAUCGACCAAAUUCAGCAAAUUUCUACUCGUUCAUCAAUUACCAACAAUACCCAGACUUUGGAUGAAUCAAAUCCAACAGAUUCUUCUGAACCCAAUUCAAUAUUGGUUGAAUUCAACAACGCCAUCUAUCUGCUAGAUUAGAUACACGCCAAUACCCAAACAACAGAGACCUAAGCUAAGUUCAACAAGGGGUGUAAUCUUGAGAUGGAUGAGCGAGAUGAGAUUGGAAGAAGAAUGUUAGAGCUGAGACUCAACUAGAGGCAGAGAGAGUGUGAGAGAAAUGAGGUGUUAUCUUGGGACACCAAAGCUGAGUACUCAGACUAACACUACUUAAGGAGGUUGAAAAGAGAAAACGGUGUUACCUAGUACCAUUAAGUUUUGUACCGCAUCACACCAAACGUGGGACAAACAUAUUAGCACCUCUUAUAUAAGGCAGUACCAGUUAACCUGUCAAACAAACGUGCACUUAAGAUUCUUAGCUAGGUGAUCCAGGCCUAAGUGCAGGGAAUGCUAGAAUAGUCAGCAAGAAAGCUCCGGUGAUGAUUCCUACCACCUGUAAAUAGAGUUGGUCUUAAGUUCCAAUCUUCCUUUGGGAUGACCCAAACAACUGAGUUAAAAAGAACAAAACUUAUAUGCUUAAUUACCUUUUAAUCCUGACUGAUACUUUUGUAGAAAAGACUGCCAAUCUUCAUUAGGCCCCUCCCUUUUCCCUAUGUUCUUGUUUCCAUGCUAAAUACUUGAUUUUUAGAUACCCUUUUGCCUCAAGUUGCUAGCCAAACGAAACAGUUCACAACUUUAUAUGCAGAUAGAUUAGUACACAACAGAAUUCACAGAAUUCAUGAAGGUGUAGAAUACAUAGAUAGAUAUAGCACCACUGUAUAACUAGUAAAUUAAUAAGAGGAACAUAAAACUAAAUCAGUCCAACCCUCAAAAGCAUAUAAUUUGAUCAGUUUGAUCAGCUACCCCCUUCCACGAUUUGGGAUAUCUCUUUGGAAGUUUGAAGGGUUCUCCAAUGUUCGUCUUUGUUGAUCAAAAUGAACCAUACAGCAUGACAUUCUACGUUUCUUAUAUCCAAGUGGAAGUUUGUACUCCUACAAAAUGGCAAAUAAUUCUCUUUAAGUAGGAAAACUAUGCAAAACCAGAGAGAAUUUGCAUCUCUAUGUCAGUUCCUACAUCUUACGGUACAUGUUGGCUCAUCUCAUCAGUGAGCAAAUAACUAACUAUAUGCAAGACUACUGUAUAUAAACAUCAUUCGUCCAACCAGGACUAGGUAGGGGAAAAAGAAAACUAGCUUUACAGUUUAUAUAAGAAAUGGAAAGAUACUGAAAAUCCAUACUCUUAUUAGAAUGACAUUAAUUGUCAAAUACAGGCACAACUUAUACAAGCUUUUCGGAUACCAAACUGAUAGUUGUUGAGGUAGCAAAAAACCAGUAGAAAGAACAAAAAUAAAAAACCGUCACACACAAGCCAAGGUCUCCAUGUAUCGAUGAUUAGACUGGCCAACCCGGAGAGAAGAAGUAUCAUCAACACCGGCCUGGGGUGUUAAGUCAAUCGAUUUGAAGGUGUGACUCUUAAGAUUGUAAGAUAAGACUUUUCCACAAUCAUGCAGCAACAGAGAUGAACCUUCCUCUUCAUUUUGACCUUUAGCAAGAAAGAGAACAACAAAUGCCUGAAUCCAUGGGUAAGCAGUGAAUAAAGGAUCAAGAUCCACAGUGUACUUGACAAACCACCCAGAGUAGUCUCUUCCCAUCUCCAACACUUCAAAUUUAGUAGAACAAGGCCAAUAAAUAUCAAUGAGAUGCAAAUGGCCGUCACUAGACUCCUUAAAAUAUCUAUGUUCCCUAGUUUCCCAGUUCUUCUCCUCAGAAUAAGGAAAACCAUCAACAAAUCCAACACGAUCUUCUUCUAUGUGGUAGUAUGCCAUCUCAGAAUCAUCGCCCACCCAAUGAACUGUGCUGUUGCAGUAUACCCCACCUUUGUAGGAAAUUUGACCUUGAGUCUCAAAAGAAGAAUUGAGAAGCCUCCAACUUUUAGUCUCAGAUGAAUAUAUCUCUAUGUGAUGGUAGCUGCACCAGCCUGUAGAACUUGAGUCAUCAACGUUCCAAAGGAAGACCACCUUGUAAUGAGGCGAUUUGGAAGGGUCAAAAGCCAAAGCAUAGCCGAAGAUUCGGGGUCGAGUGGUAGUGGCGGCGGCAGCAGCUGGAGGAAUAAGUUUGGAGAACUGGUUGGUUGUGGGAUUGAGAACAUAAUGAUAAAGAGGUCUAGUAGCUCGUAGCACAUCGGAAUCGUGAAUAAUAGAGUUCAGUACAAUUUCAGGAUAACACAAGAAGAGGCCGUUGCAGGACUGGAUAAUCUUGAUGUUGUCAUGACAUAGGUUGGCAAUGAAUUUCAGAGGGUUGCAGCUGGGUGAACCAGACCCUGUACUAGUAGUUCGAUAAUGAUCGAAAUCAAGAGGGAUAAAACCAAUGGAUCUGGAUAGGUUGCAAAAGACGGCAGAGGCAGAAGGGUUCGGGUUACGAAGGGUGUGACGGUGACAGAACUUGGGGUCAGAGAUAAAAGAGAGCCAAUGCUUGGAGACGCAUUUGAAGCGGAGCAGAAUUCGAGCUGGAACACGAACAAGGAUUUCCGAAAAGAUAUCUUCAUAGUCCCAUAUGGUUUCUGGUAACCUGCUGCUGCUGCAGCAUCUAAGUCUCUUCACCAUUCAAAUUUGUUUUUGGUUCCUAGAGGGGGAGGCUUUAUAUACCUAACCUACACUCUCCUAAUUACAAAGGACAGCAAUCCCGACUCAACUAGAAAACACAAACCGAAUUGAAUAUUUGGACUACCAAAAGUCCAACCCAUUUUAUUCAAUGAAAGAAGCCCAACCCAAAAAGCCUCUAUUGUAACCGCAAAACGUUGCGUUUCAGUCGAGUCCUGGAUCAUCUCUCUCUCUCUCUCUCUCUCUCUCGCAGUAUCAGUUUCAGCAAGAAAAAGGCGCAUGGCGAUGGAAUUAGAAUUAGGGUUUCCGUACUGGAAAGCCCUCCGUCGGAAGUUUGGUCCUGAAUCUCCGUUCUUCUCCUCCGGCAACAUCGAAAGGGAGUUGCUCGUCAAACAGGUUCUUUCUUCUCUUUCAUUUCUCACUUUCAAAUUUCAAAUAUUUCGUCUUGCAAUUUGUGUUUGAAUUUUCAAUAAAAUUACUGUAAUCUUCUGUAGCUUGCGCUGGAUUUGACUGAAGAUGAGAAGCGAGAGCUUCGGAGUUUCGUGGAUGUGGAAGGCAGGUAUUCAUGAGUAGCAUUAGAGUUUUGUUACUGUGAUGAAUUUGUGGAGUUUAAUUAGGAAAUAUGGAAAGAUGAAAGCUUUAGGGGGAUUGAUUUGAUGUGUUACGGUGCAGGGGUGUUUUCUGUCCCAUUGUUGGUUGUGGAGCGAGAUUGAUUUGCUUGGAGGACUUUGAAGAUCAUUACAAUGCUCGUCACUCUGCAUCUUGCUCUGUGUGCUCUAGAGUCUAUCCGACGUCCCGCCUGCUCGGCAUUCAUGUUUCUGAAGCACACAGUUCUUUCUUUCAGGCCAAAGUCGCGCGUGGUGAUCCCAUGGUAUAUUCGGUUUAUAGUGUUCUAUGUUGAUAUUGUCUGAGGAAUGAAGAUGCGAUAUGUUUCUGUUUACCCCAAUAGAUUGUCAUGUGUUUCUGUCUCUACUAGCUGUGUGACAGUUCCCUCUUUCAUUACCAAUUUAAAUUGUUGGGAGCUCAAACAUGAAUUAGAAUUCAUUCCAAGCUUUUCUGUUGGGAUCCUAUUUGAAUCUUCGACUUAACAUUGUUAUUCUUCAAAUUUCUAAUCAGACAAGUAUAUAGAGGUGAUACUAGCGUGAAGAGGGCUAAUACUAUAUGCUAGAUGAUAACUUACAUAUCAAUACAUGUGCUUUCCAGUCUUUAUAUCUUACAUCUUGUUAUCGAACCUCCUUACUGGUUUAAGUCAUUUGAAUUGGUUUCAUUGUCUGUCUGUAACAGUAUGAAUGCCUCGUAGAAGGCUGUGAUUUGAAAUUGAAGAGCUAUAAAAGCAGGCAACAGCAUCUGGUGGAUAAGCAUAAAUUCCCCACUUCAUUUGAGUUUUACAAGAAGGCUCCUCCUUCCAAAAAGCGCAGGCAGAAGAAUCAAAGAAAGCAAGCUUUUGUUAAGAAGGCAGAUGCAUCUGAUAUGGAAGUGGAAAAUGAAGUCAUUGAUGACACUAAUCAUUCGAGAAAACAGAAGAAGAAUCAACGGAAGCAAGCAAAUCUUAAGAAACCUGAUGCUUCUAAUAUGGAUGUUGGAAAUGAAGAUAUCGAUAAUCUUGCUUCUGCUGUCUCCAAGUUAAGCACUUCAGACUCCAGCCCCUCAUCCAUCAGCUUUGGUCGUCGACCCACUCGUGGCCUGACGUUUGUUCCUAGAGCUGUUCAACGGGAGAAAAAACCAGACUCCACAUAGGUUAAAACAAAGAGAUCGCGACCUCACUACCCAAUUCAAGUGGGAAUUGCUUAAAUUAUUUGUCUUCCACCAGAGCAAGUACAUAAUGGCUUCUCAAAAUGUACUUGGAAAUUAUUGUAGGGAUUCAUCUUGGAAGAUUUUGAAUGCUGACGCGGAGGAUUAGUUGUUUACUUGAUGAGUGUCUGGUUUCAAAGAAUGUGUUAGGCACACUAAUGUGGUGGUUAUUGUUGUAAUCUUGACGACUUAAGCAAGGUGCUUCAUGUAUUACCUUCGAUACUUUGAUGGCAUUUACAUUUUGGCAUCUGUCUUGUAACCAAAACAGCACCGGCAAACAGUGCUCGUUUAAAACACAUCAGCAACACGACAUGUCGUCUAAUAUGAAUUACUGUCAGCAUAAAAUCCCCUGUUUUCUCUAUGCUCAGCUCAUUCUUCUCAUUCCUUGUUGUUGUUCACCCGCAAGGCCUUGAAUUCCAAAAUUCCUUAAGAAAUGGACGCCAUAGAUUCAGUGUUUGAGCUUGAGAGAAUUCUCCAAGGACAGCGUUCGCUUGGUCAAACGCUGCCACAAACCCGACCGGAAAGGUAAUCAAUACUCCAUUUCAAAUCCAAAUCGGAUCAGUUUCUCUUGGCACAUUGAUGCGAUGUGUAAAUCCCAAUCCAUGUGAUAGUUUUGUAUGAGAAAACUAGAUUGAUACGGUGCGUUUUGCAUGCAACAGAGUUCACAAAGGUGGCGAUCCGUACGGCCAUCGGGUUCGUGGUGAUGGGAUUCGUUGGCUUCUUUGUGAAGCUCAUCUUCAUCCCCAUCAAUAACAUCAUCGUCGGAGCUGCCUAGGUAAGAUCCUCUCACCAAUCUGCAUGCAUGAUCAAACAAUUAUGAGUAACUUGUGUGUGACUGAUUAUAUGAGUUUCAUAUAGAUCCAUCUGUACAGUACCUUAAUGUGUUGAAGAAUCAUUAAUAGAUGUGAGUAUAAGAAAACUAGGUGAAUUCCUGUCUUCCUGAUUCUGCAAUGAUUGUGGUCGUGCAGGUCAUUUGGCACUUGUAAGAAAGAUGGAGCUAUCAAGAAUCACUAGAUAGGGAACAGAUCUACCAGACUACCAAGUGCGUUGUGAUGCUUAAAAGUUUACCAAUUGUUAGUCUUCUAAGAAAGAUUCUAGUCUCGAAGCUUGUUCUUUUGUAAUUCAGAGAUGUUUAAGUUCAGCAAUCUAUUACUUAUUUUCUCACACUAACCAAAUCAUUGAAAAGCUUAGAGAUAAUUUGCAAGGUCACAAGCACAUUCUGGUGAGAUUUAGUCAUGUACAAUGAAUUACAGGCCUUCGAUGAACUCGUUACUGUAAAAUCUAGUGAUGAAUGACAGUAAUAUGAAAUCAAAUUUCCAAGAAUGUCAAAGCAUCACAGUUUGUACUCAUGAAUAUGUAACCAAGUAAAGCCCGCUGUAGAACAUUGCAGUAAUGAGUUUUAGUCUUCCAUAUACGUGAGAAGUACAUCAGAGAGGGAUUAAAAUCUGCAUACUUGAUACAACACUCUGAGACUUCUCAGUGGUUUGAAUACAAAAUUAUACAAAAAGGAGAAGAAACAUGCUGCAUUUGAUGGCACUUCAUAUAGGAGAUGUGCAACAAUCAACAAAGAGCAUUGUUCUCUGCACCAUUAUCUGCAGAUGCAAGAACCAGUUGUGGUUUGUUCUGAAGGAUAUAGGCUUCCUUUCUUGCUUUCUUUUUCUCGCGUUGUAGCUUGAAGUUCUCCCUCUUCCUAACCCUGUAGCUGUUGGGGUUUUCAGGCUGUAUCUCCCGAGGGUAAACACUCACCUGUCAAUUAUUCAAGUAAGCGAAGUUUCAUUUAGUAAUAGUGUACAGUCUUUCAAACACUGUUAAGUUCAGGAGCUCCAAAUCAAACCUUCUUCCUGUCUGGUCCGAACUUCUCAAACUUAACCAAGCCAUCUAUCAAGGAGAAGAUGGUAUGGUCCUUGCCGAGCCCUACAUUCUUCCCCGCAUGGAACUGAAAACAAUGCGAAACAACAAAAGAAACCACAUCUUUCAGAAACCGGAUACUAUUCACCAAAUAGAGCAUUGGAACAUUCAGAUUACUGCCCAAAAAUACAGCCCUUGAAUGCCUUAACUGACAUCCAAGUCAAAACACUGACAAAACAUGUCUCUUUACAACCAAAUAGCUUCAUCAAAACACACUGCCUAGAAUCAUACUUUCAAUUCAUGGUUAACAUGGAAAACCAUACGUCAUUAUCUUCAAAUGUUAUACCCAAAUGCUUAAUCUUCUCGUAGUAAUCACAAGGCAGCCAUUUCGAUUCACUACAUCUAAACAGUUCUAGUGACACUUUCUUCUGACCAAAUCAAAAGGCGCAUUUGGUAUAGCAAAUUCAGUACAAAUUUAAGUGCUCAAACAACACCAAAGUCCCAACCUUUCUUCAAUAGUAUUCAACAGCAGUAAAAAGCAAGGACAUUUCGGGAACAAUUUACCUUGGUGCCACGCUGACGUAUGAUGAUAGCGCCGGGCUUGGCCACCUGGUCGCCGUAAAUCUUAACGCCGAGCCUUUGGCCUUUGGAAUCGCGACCGUUCUUGGUACUCCCAGCUCCUUUCUUGUGAGCGUUUUGAAUCGUCAACGGCAAUCUCCGUUGGGUUGUAGACAAUGACAGCUUUGGACCCAACUGUAGGGAACCCAAGUCACCUCUGAAGAAAGAGGAGGACGAAGAAGAGGAGGUUGAGAAGCUUGAGCUCAGAGCCAUCCCUCUGAAUGCUCCGACUAGGUUGAAACUCAUAGACGCGACCGCCAUUUUGAGAGGGAUUAGUUUUUCAUAAAAUCAAAAAGGGUGUGAAAUUCUGGGAAAUUUGGAGGAGGAAGAAGAAGAGGAGGAGGAGGAGAUAAUGGUGAAUAAAACCUUAUCUUGGAGACUCAGGAUUAAUCAGAGCCGUCCACGUCCGCAUAUGACAGUUUGCUGUUAAAAUUAUGAUUUUCAAUAGAUUAUUUUUAUUUUAUGGCAAUCAAAAAUUCAAAACUGAAAACUUAUACACAGUGAGCCACUCUAAUUCCAUUAACCACCGAUAUGUAUGGUAAUCUAUCAAAAAUGUUAGGAAGGGUGAAGAAGCACACAAUAAUGGUAAAAUUCAAAGGUUAAAAAAAAAAAUGAAAUUUCUCAAAAAUUUGUGUGUUAUAAGAAUGAGUUUUGGCUCAAAUCAGAUGAAACUUGAGGUGAGAGGUAAUACGUGUUCCACACAAUAGCAUAGACUAAUUAGUGGUGCACCUUCUAGGGAGUUGUAGAUCUGACCUAAAGGGCAAAGAAAAAAUUUAAUUUUGUCUGGUCGGCCUUGUACAGUGAGUGGUAGUACAGAGGCCGAAAUAAGCGAGCAUGAUAUAUUUAGUGAGUAGUUCUAUCAUACAUUCCAUUGUGAGCAUUCUUUACUACUUUUUGUCUAUCUGUACAUGGUAGAUGAAUGGCGUGUAAUGGCUACUCUUCCUAUUCGUCCAUGAGACUUCCUGACUCAUGGAGACACAUGCCACCCCGUUUAGGUCUCCCCAAAGGUCCCAAGAAAGACUCGCUUAGUGCCCCAUAAGGCCAGCACCGAGGGUGGUGGAGAGUCUGACACCAAGUAUCCCUUUAUAUAACAUAUUAGACAAAUUCUCAUUUGGCAGGAGUAAACAUAAAAAAGCCAAGAAAGAUCAACGCCCAUAAUUAAUUCAUGCAACCUCAUAAAAAUAUACCGUCAAGUGCGUUAAAAUCCUUUCGACAUUGCAGACAAUUUUCGUGUUCAGACUUUUCCCAAAUUCCAAACCGAAGUACCUCGAACUAAAAGUUUUACUUAAAUACGACAUUGCCACCUCAUGCUUGCCAUGAACAUGUUCCUCUUAUGCAUCACCUCCAUAGAGUGUCACAAUGACAUCACUUUUUGUGGUGAGUGGUGACACUGAGAAUAGAUCAUUAAGGAUAUUUGUAGUUAAAAAGAUAAAUGUUGGCUAAACAAAGUAGUUAAUGCAUUGAAAUAGCUCGGUUCAGUAGAUAUGAGCCAAAAACCAAGCGCCAGGCAUGACAAAGCAACUUUCCUAUUUCAAACGAAGAAAAGUAGCAUGCAUAUAUUAUCAAAUGUCCGGUUCAAGGGACACCAUAUUUAACACAAAUUUUUACACUGUUUUUAAGCCAUUAGAUUUAAAAACGUUCGAUGAUCAGGAUUUAAAGUUUGAAUGACGUGGAAAUUGACAUGGCAUCACAUUUCUAAUAGAUAAUUAUAAUUAUAUUAAGCAUUAUAAGAAAAAAAAAAAUCUUUCAAGAAACAUUGUAGCAUUGGAUCAAAAGAAAGAUUAAAAAAGAAGAGGAAAACAGAACAAAGAUGGAGACGGCCAAAAAUACACAUUUGACGAUCCGAACCGGAGUAACUUCGAUAAAAAUUAAGGGUUGGUGAUUGAAGCCAAUCAAUAUGAAUGGAUGUUGCCAGUCAGAUCUGGAGUUCUAUGGUUGUUGUCCCCUCUCUCUCUCUCUCAAGGUUUAGAAACUUCUAUAAUGGAAUUAUACGGAGGUUUCCUGAAUUCAGUUUCAAAAUCAAAAAUGAAAAACAAUACGAUGAGUAUAGGUCGUUAGUGACAAAGUAACGUAUGAGCUGUUUGUAAUUUGAUUAGGUAUUAUUCGAUGUGAAUAUGUGAUAACCAGAUUUCAACUCUAUAUGUCUUGUUUCUCCUUUCUAUAAUAUAGAUGCUGGAAAAUAGCAUUACAAAAUACAAAUAUUAAAUUGGCCACGCUUAGCUACUGAUCUGUAUUCGAAAGCAACUGGUAAGCUUUGGUAAGCUUUGCACAUCAAUAAUUAACAAAGCAAAUUGUAGAUGACUAUAGAUGAGAUUAAUAUAAUGCAUCAACGCUUAAUUUUAUUAAACUGUCUCUGCCUCUUUAUUGGACCAAGUCCUAACCUGCAUAUAUAAACAAUAUAAAUUACUCCAGCUAGCGUCAAGUUGUAUAUUUUUGCAUUUAAGCCGACAUCAAUAGUACGUAGUAACCAGCUACUAGGGAUCGCAUGACGAAAAAUAAAAUGUACACAUGCAAUAACAAUAAUCAUGAAGUAUAAUUCCAAAUUUCACUAAUGAAAUAUGUAAACGAUCACUAGUAACAACUACAGGUUUAAAUGUCGUUAUUGAAGUUUAAAUCACAAUCUAUUCUUAAUGACAAGAGAAAUGAAGCGUUGUAACAUGAGCCGUCUAUUAUACACCUAGAAAGUCUUUAAGAACACCAUAUUGAACUCAAUCAAAAAAGAAUGAUCAUUACCGAUUCAACUUAGGAUACGAUGUACUGAUUAUAAAUUUGAGUCAAUGAUACAGACAAAAUUGCUUAAUCGACUCAUCGGCUAAAGUAUCAAAGCUCAACAAAUUAAGCGGGUGAUGAAAACUUUGAUGGAAUCUCCCACUCAACAAUCUUAUAGAUCUUUAGAAAUGAGGAUAGUCUGGUUAUCAGUACUCAUUGCUUAAUACACUAACUUUUUCUACUUCGAAUUAAAAAAAAAACUUAACAUUGUGUUUGGAUAAAAUAAUUUCAAUUUCCAUAGAAUUUUCAAAAUUAUAGGAAUUACAAUUCCAUGAAUUUAAAUUUUAUCAAUUAAGAAUUUCAUUGUUUAGAUUUCAUAAGGUAUAGUUUUAAAAUGACAAGAUUUUAUAUUCAAACUAGGGCUGCCACUCGGUCGGUUUGAAUCGGUAAUGGGCGUUACCAACUUUAAAACCAAAGUUUCGGUAAUGAAAUAUGACUUUCAAUUACCAAACCAAAAACUUCGGUAUGAGAUAAAUCUUACCAACUUCAGAUGUCGGUUUUUCGGUAUUACCAAACUUCACAACAAAUAUAUUUUCAAAAUAUAACAAAACAAUACAAAACUAUAAAAUUUAAAUAUCACUUGAGUUUCUAGAGUCUGAUAAUACAUAUACAAAAGAUAGUCAUUUCAGUACACAUUAUCGAGUAUGGUUUAAUUUUCUACCGAAAUAGUCAGGAUGUAAAUGUUUCCAAAUUUUUAUAUGAACAAGUUAUGUGUCAUCUAGGUGAAAGCAUGUGUGUGGAAGAGUCGACCAAAAUAAGUCACAUAAGGGCAGUAAAAGCUUUUUCGUGUAAUAAGUGACGUUAAAUUAUGGUUGACCGCUUUGAUCAAGACCCGAGCAUUAUUGAGUACAAUUGAAUUUUCAUCAUAAUUGUAUUAUACUAUAAUGAUCACAUCAGACGGUCGAAUUUUAGUUUUGUGAAUUGUAAUCAUUGGAACCACAACAUGCCUGGUAAUGUGAUAUAACUUAUUUAGUNNNNNNNNNNNNNNNNNNNNGUACAUCUUUGUGAACCAACUACAAAGAGGAAGCAAAAUUUUCAAAAACCUUGUGAACUAUGAUGUGAUCAAUAUAGUGAAAUACGGCUAUGGUAGAAAAAUUAGGUAUUUUUGAUAAUUUUUUGGCCUUGAUCAAGGCGGCUAACCCUAUUUACGCUUGUGCUUCCUAUGGAGAGCCCUAUCAUCAAGAGAGGUAAAAACAUUUCUAAAUUUUUACAUGGGCGGUUACAUGUCAUCUAAGUGGGUUUGUCUAUGUGUGUGUGUGAUGAAUCGACUAAGACGGGUAGGUAAGAGCGUUUUUAUAUAACAAGUAACAUUGAAUUAAAGUUGAUCGCUUUAAUUGAGACCCGAAUGCUACCAAGUAUAGUUGAAUUUUUCUAUUCAUUGUCUUGUUUUUUACUAAAUGGUAUAUACAAUUGAAAACGUGAGAUAAGAUUAUUAGUCUGUGUGUUUUUAGAAAUAUAAGUCUUUAAAUAAUUAGAAUUUCGGUAAAUUCUGUAUUUACCAAAAACCAAACCAACUUUUUCGGUAUUUCUCGGUUUCGGUUUUUUUUAUUUCGAUUACCAAAAUUUGGUUUACCAAAUCAUAAAUUUUCGGUCGGUUUGGUAUUUACCAAACCAAGUGGCAGCCCUAAUUCAAACUAACCUCGGUUAAGGGAAUUGACAAAUGACACCUAUUUUGGAAUUCAACUCGGGAAUUUAAGCUCCCGAAUUCUACAAUUAUUUUUUCAUGAAAAUUACUAAUUCCACUUGAUAAAAAUCCGAACAGGGAGAAACAGACAUAAGGAAUUAAGAAUUCUUUAUUUUUGAUUAAAUUUAUGGGAAUUCACCUGCAUCUAAAAACACUGUAAAUAUUUGAAUACUGUAUAUAAAUUAAUUAUCCUCAAGAUUCACAUUUUAAAUUCAAUUAUUAGUAAGUCCCCGCAAAUUCAAUUAUUAUAGCAGUCAUUAAGUAUUAAGUCCCCGCAAAUUACGUGACAAGCAACUAAGCAAAGCAUGUGACGUUAGAUUUGAAGUUUCCCUUUUUAUAAACAAAGACUUGGCUUCGAUCCAAUCUGUUCGAGAGUUGACUCUCGUGCUUGUUCACAGUUAUAAAUCGACAGGAUGUAUCCUUUUGUUCUGUCCAUCCAAGCCAUCUCACUUAUUAAGCCACCCAUCGUCUUUGAUAUCUAAAACCCAAAGAUCGACUUUCGUCCACUGUUUUCAUUUCUCUUCACAUUUAACUCUCCCCAGCAGCCUGCACAUUUGUGGCUUGUUGUUUCAUUUUUACUUUGAUUAUUUCUCUAGUACUUCUAGUAUUCAGAAACCCAUAAAAAAAAAAAAAAACCAAACAAACAAAAGGUAUGGCCUUUAUUUCUGCUGAACUCCUGACUUGUUUUUUUUUUUUGGUUCUAAUGUAUACUGAAAAUUAAACCCUUCAUCCUUUUGUUUACCUUUGUCUGUGUCUAUUUCAGAUGUGGACUCCGUUUGUAUUCUGUUAUGUGUUUAAGCGGAGAAUUUGAAGGAGUGACAUACCCUGCAUUCAUAGGUCAUAUUACCGAAUACAAACUGUAAGUUGCCUGCCUUUACAUCGUUUUUGCUAUUUACUUCUCUUCUAAUGUUCUGUCCAAAAUUAGAAUCUUCACUUUUGUUCUUAUGGCCCUUUUCACAAAUACAGAUUGUGUUUCUACUGUUCUUGUUUUAAUCAGAGGAUUUGGAAGAGCAUCUAUACCCACAUUCAUACGUCAUUACUAAAACAGCCAAGGUACUGUGUCCUAUACUUUCCUUCUUCAAUUUUAGUUUGCUCUUUUUCUCUUUUCUUUAUUUUUGUUUUCGAUUUUGCAGCAUCAAAGAUCUAAUCUUGUGUAAACUGUAUUUCAUAGUUACUUCAUUAACGCUUUUUUUUCCUUUUUUUUUUUUUUCUAAAAAGAAAAAGAUUAAGCCCAGUACUAUUUGGUCUAGCGGCAUAGUCUCAUUUUAAUAAGUGGGAAGUUGUGAGUUCGACUCACGAAAGACUAGUUGUAACAUUCGAGUUUAUUUAUCUGAUAAAAAAAAGAAAAAAAAAUUAAGAAUAAAUUUAAACAUUGGCAUUCCCAUGUAAACAAAGGAAAGCUGAUCUAGUCCUACCUUUAAUUAUAGAGUGCGGCUAUUGAUUAUUGAGACCUCCAACUUUGCUCAGUAUACCUCUUAUACUCUUUACACCUCUUUUUUUAUUUUAACUACAAGCAUUUGCUCAUUAGACCUCCUUUCAAAUUCCUAAAAUAACCUUAAGUAUAUUAUUCACAUAUAUCUUGAUAAUUUACUCAUUAUACAUUUUAUUUAUUCUCUAGACCUCUCGUUGUUUUAAUAUAUUUUUCUUUUUGCAUGCUAUCAUCGAGACCUCUAUUUCUUGAUUUUUUUUUUCGUUCAAAUCUCUUUCACGACCUCCAUUCCUUGAUAUUUUUUUAUUUCCCAUAGAAUGUCACCAAACCUCUAUUAUUUGAUCAACACUAGUGGAAAAAAGCACUUAGGAGACGGAAUUAUUUCGUCUCCUAAGUGACAGAUUUCGUCUCCUAAAUACUUAGGAGAUGGAACGUCUGUCGCCUAAUUGUGGUGAGGUAGACACUUAGGCGACGGAACCUGAAAUUCAGUCGCUUAAGUGGUUCUUAGGAGACGAAAUACUUUCGUCUCCUAAGAACUUAGGCGAUGGAUUUUUAUUUUAUAAUAAAAAAAUUAUCCACAUAGGAGACGGAAUAGUUGAAUUCCGUCGCUAAAGGCUGAAAAAGAAUUUUUUAAAAAAAAACGCCACCGCAGUAAAGUUUACUGCCCCCUAGUAAACUUCUACUGCCUCCUAGUAAACUUCUACUGGGGAUCAGUAGACUUGCAAAAAAUAACUCUCUUUCAAUUUCAGGGGCACAACACACAACAUAUACCAAUUCUUACCCUAAUAAACAAUUUUAUUGGCCUCUAGUGAACCCAGUAGAAGUUUACUGCCCCCUAGUAAAGUUCUACUAGGGAUCAGUAAAAUUCAAUACAGUAUCUCCAUUUCAAUUUCAUGUCAAUUAUACACAACAGAUACCCAUUCUUACCCUAAUAAACAAAUUUAUUGCCUCCUAGUAAACCUAGUGGAACUUUACUGCCCCCCCCAGUAAACUUCUACUGGGGGUCAGUAAACUUCAAUACAGUAUCUCCCUUUCAAUUUCAUGCCAACAAUCUGCCCCAAAUAUACCACCACCACCAAAUCCAAAACAAACUAUUAAAAAUAAUUACUAAAAACAAUUAAAUACGCAUUUUGGAAGCCUAAACGGACUCGGAUGGCCUAAAACGCCCAUACGUCGUGGCGCAAUGACGAGUUUGGUUCGUUGGGCAGUUCCGUUUUUAGAAAGGGAUCAUAAUGAUCAAUCAGACACCGAACGCCAAAUCUGGAGCAAACCGGGUUUAGACUUAUUUCGAUCGAUCUGCUCUUCAAUCUCUAUCGUCAUAUGUUCUACAUCACCGGUGGUGGGUCGGCGAGAAGGCUUGGUAGAGAGGGGGAGGUUGUUGGCUCCGAAGAGGGUGCAGAAGUGGCCGGGUGAUGUUGAAGAGGGUCUUGACGACGUUGAAAGUGGUGGCGUUUGUGAGGACGAAGUCGAUGAGUGCAUGGCGGUUGGAGGUGGCGUUGGUGGGGGUGGUGCAAUUGAAGGUGGCAGCGGAGGAAAGAGCGGUGAUAAUAGAGAGAGAGGUCGGCAUGAGAGUGAUGGUCUGGAGAGAAAGAGAAAGAGCUCUAGGAGAAGAUGGGUUUCCUUCUAUUGAUAAGGUUAGUGAGUGUGUGAUUUAAAAGAAUUGAUAUGUUUUGAAAAAUUUUGGUUUGAAUUUUCAUGAAAUUUUACGCGGGAAGAUGGGCGCUCAAAUUUUUAGAACUUAAGCGACGGAACAUAAUGUUCUAUUUCCUUCGUCUAAGUGAUUCAUAAUUAUUAUUAUUAUUUUUUUAAGAAAACAUUUCGUCGCCUACGUAAAUAUUUCCGUCUCCUAACUUAGGCUACAAAAUAUGUAAUUCCGUCUCCUAAGUGAUUCAUAUAAAUUUUUUAAUUUUUAUUUUUUCAAAAUGUCAUUGUCUAAGUAAAAAUAUUCCCUCUCCAAAGUAGUACUUAAGUGACAGAAUGAAUUCCGUCUCCUAAGUUGUUCUUAGGAGACGAAAUCAAAAUAUUUCGUCUCCUAAGUACAAAAUUCCGUCGCCUAAGUGCUAUUUUCCAGUAGUGCAAUUUGUAAGAAAGUAAUUUCAAUGACGUCAACUUUUCUCUUAAAAAUCAAAUAACACAAAGUAUUGGGUUUCAAAAAUUUAUAUUUACCAGCCCAAUACCGUCUCUCCUUAUAAAUAAGAGGUCGUGAGUUCGAUUCACAGUAGACUCGUUGUAUUUACUAACAUAUAAGUUAUAGCAUAUUACUUGUGUAUCUGAUUUAAAAAAAAAAACUUGUAUUUUCCAACAAGAAAAUAUAUGCUUUCAACAUGUAUGAUAGAAGAAAAUUUAGAAAAUAGUAAAUUAGAAAUUAAAAAUAUAUAAGGAAAACAGUAAAGAAUACAAUCAAUUAAUUAUCAAAUUAGAAAGUUUAGAGAGAAUAAAUAUACUUCUUUUUGUAUGAUUAUUGUUCUUAAUAGUCAUUAUGUAAGAGGAGAUAAUUGUUAUUCAAUAACUCAUAACAAAAGGUGGUCAAGUAAGUAAAUUUGGAGGUCUCAAUAGCCGCACUCUUAAUUAUAUAGUUUCAUAUCGACGGCCUAGAUCGUUUGGUGAAUAGAAAAAGAUGCUCUAGAUUAAACCUACUAUAAUUUCUAUUUUUAAUACGGAAAUUCUAUGGUAACUACUCGUAUGUGAUACCCAUAUUUACAAAUGUGACCACAUAUUUGUAAUCAGAGUGGUAAUGUUGAGUCGUAUUGUUUGUAAUCUUAUUCUAGUAUUGUUCUUUUAUCAAUUAAACAACUCAAAUGUUACAACGAGUCUUUUAUGAGUCGAACUCACGACCUCCCACUUAUAAAAAGGGGAUUAUGUCACUAGACCAAAUGGUAUUGGGUUUGUUCUGGUAAUUGUAAUUACAAAAAUGUACAACUAUGUUACAAAUUUUUUUUGUUCAACAACAUGUAAAAUAAAGUAUGAUAUACAUCUGAGUACAGUGGCUUGUCUCUUUUUAAUAAAAUUUUUGGAUAAUAUUGACUUCUAACAAAAUUAUUAAAAAUAGCUUUGAUGCUUGAAAGUUCCUCCGAAAAAUCCCACGAACUUGUAAAGACCUUUAGUUUAAUCCUAUGUGCUCAAAAAACAAAAUUUGACAAAUCAAAAUUUUAAUUUAUUUUUGUAAACAUCAGGGAAUUUCAAAAUAAUAUAAAUUGAAAUAUGAAAUAGCCCUGUAUGAAUCUGCCUUUCAAAAUAGAAAACCUAAUUUCGUGGAUGUUACACAAAAUUCUCAUAUAGGCCUUCUCAUAUAGUAUGAUUUAUCAAAAUGUGAUAAUAUAUCAAAACAAAUAACAAACGCAUAAAGGAUGAAAGUAACUACGAAAAAUAGUCCGAAGAGUAUAUAUCCUCCACAUACUUGAUCAAUGAAAAGGGGCUAGUUUUUGGUACUGAGGUGUAUAUAUAUUUUUUUUUAAUCAAAAUAUUAAUGAUUUCAUUUACAACACAUGUAGAGAUUACAUUGUGAAUCGAUCUACUGUCUUGUGUACAAAGGGCAAAUAGAUUAUUUGAUACACAAUUAGAUAGUAACCUCCUUGCAAACUUCCGCUCACCCGGUACCACAUGUGAGCCUAUAACCACAUAGUGUAAUAUUAUAGGCCCUUAUUCUAAACAAGAAAAAAAAAAUGCAUAAAAAUUAAACGCAUGAGCCCAUGCCCAUUAGCUAAGGACACCCAAGACUUUGGGCACCCACAUCUCCUACCGCCAGCCGCCGUCUCCGGUGGCCGACCCUGCCGGCAUACAAACAUCACCAUCCUCAAAACGGUUCAUUCAAUCAUUUCACAAUUAAUUGAACAAAAAUUACAAGUUAACUGAAUGUAAUUUAGAACAUUAACUACAAAUGCUGUAUUUGUUUUACACAUUUACAUAUAAUUGAACCAAGUUACUACAACAACAAUAAGUUGUUCAUAAACUUGUAAAUUGUCAUAAGUUGAGUAAUUAUUUCUAAUAAAACAAAAAUUACCCAAGUAACUAUUUUUACCAAAAAGACAAAAUUUGUUGUCAUAUAUGUAAAUGUAAGUAUUACAACUGUGGGACUUCGAAACCAAAAACAGAGGCGAAAACCGCAACCAAACAAACCACACCGAAAAAAAAAGCGCACCAGAAAAAAAAUUGGGCCGAACUAGAUAUGUUCAGUGCAGUUUUCAGUUUCAGUACCACAAAAACCGAACCGAAGCAAAAAAAACAGAAGUUAACGAGCAAAGCUAGUCAACGUCUCAAAACAAUGUCGUUUAUGGUUUUUUUUUUUUCAACCCUAAUUACCUCUCUGAGUCUCGCUAAACAGGUAUAGGUACUUAAGAAAAUCCCUAAUGAACCUUACCAAAAAAAAAAGAAAAUCCCCAAUGAAGGUUUUUUUUUCUUCCUUUUUUGGGAUGAUCAAUGGACUAAACUUGUUUAAUCAAUGAAAGUCCAGUUAAAAAAAAUUCGAAAGAAUCAUUAUUUACAAACUUUAUAAAAUAUUUCAACUCAAAAAUCAAAACAUGAUGUUCAAAUAAAUGCAGCCCCAAGUUCAAAUGUUACUUGAUGAUCAGUCCAGUACUCCAGUAUGUCCAUUACACGUACCUGACCGCAAAUUACUUCAUAAUUAGGUCAUUAGCGAGAGCGUCUGCUACCACGUGAUUGAGUCAUCACUACAUUCGAGUGCGGUCUGACUUGUUGUAGCUAACAUUUUUUUGGGAUCAAUCCCAAGAAACUCAGUGCUACCAUCAACGUCAGGCCAUCAGCUAUAACGAUUUGGUCAGUAUGCAUCAUAAUUGCACAUAACCAAACCAUGGCAUAUGCAUCAUCUUACAAACAACAUAAGAAGACUUCUUAUCGAGAAAUGUCAUAAAUAUCCUAUUUUGAGUUUGAUGCUUUUCCUAACAUACUUCCAGAGUCACAAACCUUUCGUUUCUCGGUAACUAGGGUCCCCAAGAGUUGACAGACUUUGACCAAAUACGAGUAUGUUCACAAUUUUCCCAAAUGGACGGCACUUUCUUCAAAGCGAUAAUGUCCAUUUGAAUCAAAACAGGAAUUUUAGUGCCUACUUGGUCCAAAAAACUUUUGUAGCAUCCAUUCUAACAGGCCCGCUCACCUGCGGGACACUAUUUACAGGACAGAAAGGGACGAAUCACUCACAGUCUUUGGAUUUUAAGUGACUAAAUCUUACGGUUAUAAUGGCUCUAGCCUUUUAUCCAAUUCUUAUCCCAAAUUCCCAACUCAUGCGACCUGCACCAUCUUCUGCUCACAAAUUUGUCCAAGCCAUGCCCAGAUUUUCUGUUGAUCUUCUUGUCCUCUCUCUCUCUCUCUCUCUCUCUCUCUCUCUCUACCAUGCCCAGAUUUGUUCUUCUGCUUACCCUCUCGCAACUCCCUAGGCCAUAGUAUCUGCAAUCUCUUUACAUCUACUUUCUCUGCACUUCUUUUGUUUCUUCAUGAGAGUUCUAUUUCCAGAUCUAUUUCAUUCUUUACUACUCAAUCGGUUUAUGGGUCAGAGUAUGGGUUCGAUAGUUUACUCAGUUUUCCUAUUGCAAUUGAUUUUCUCUACGGUUCCUUUGUUUUCCUACUUAUGUUUGCUUUGCUUUUUUGGAGUCAGUUUACAUGUUUUGAACCCGUAACAGAUCACUUCGAAUGAUGAGAGAGGAUAGCAUAAAUACCUUUAUGAAAUUACAAAUAGGAUGGUGAGAUGAAGGGAUAAACAGAUGAAGAACUUGGAGAUCUGGGUAGCAGAGGCCGGUAAAAGAGGAACUGCAGAACUGGAAUCUAAUAGGUUUAGAUUANNNNNNNNNNNNNNNNNNNNUACUACUACUACUACUACACUCACACNCUCUCUCUCUCUCUCUCUCUCUCUCUCUCUCUCUCUCUCUCUCUCUCUCUCUCUCUCUCUCUCUCUCCCCCCCCCACUGUUGUGCUCUCCUUUCACCGGUAGAGUCCUCAACCUCCGUUGCCAGAGCCGUUGCCAUCAAGGUCGCCGUCCCACUGAAUCCGAAUCUAAAUCCACUCUCGGCAAUUGUUAGUAGUAUAUGUGGUCUGUUUUAGCAACUUUUUGAGAUUCACAUUGUAUCAUCGGGUCUCAUUCUCUAACUUGAGGUAAUGACGUCGUCUUAUUUAUUGAUCAGAACUUAACUCAUUUCCCUAACAACUAAAAAAAUUCUACCAUAUUCUGUGUCUUAAUCCUUAUUCCAAAACAGUCGACAUAGACGUGCAUGACAGUUCUUAAAUACAUUAGUGAAAAGAGACAAUUAAAUUUAAAACAAAUAGUCCAUGAAGACAUCAUAAAAUGGCAUAACCACUACCCCUGAACACCUGAACAAAAUAUGCUCGCUUAAUAGAGGACGCACUUAUUGGCACUAACCAAAAAAAUUGAAAUGUAACCAAACAUAAAUAUAGGCCAUCACGAAUCGCUUUCCUCUCAAAACCGUUGAUACAAGCAUCUCAGAGAAACUUCAGACCAAAUAAAAGAAUGUCAGAACAACCGCGAAACAGUUUGUUCUGGAAAAUGCAACCCCCUUGACCAUUAUUCAUCUAAAUAAUAUGUUGUGUAACCAAACCAACUCCAAUCAAUAAUAUACAUGGGGGCUAAUUUUGCCUUUAGCUUGAGCAACCAAAUGUUCUUCUGUAUCAUGUUCAAAAUUUGAAACUUUGGAACUUUAUAGUAGAACUGCUAUGUUCUAUUCCAUCAAUUGGAGUUGAGUCUUGACAAAAAGUUUGUAAAACUAAGUUAAAAAUUAAAAUCAUGCAUUGGAGAUGGCCUUAAGCAGAGACCCACCACAAAACCCACUAGAAAUAACAACAACCGAUGAAUACCAUAUCAAGCAUCUUCAAACUUGGUUUUUUUGAUACGCAUCUUCAAACUGGUUGUAGUCGUCAAUAUGAUAGAGGUAAAGUUUAGGUUACACUUGAUCAUGAUCCUUUUGAAAAGGUUUGAUACAAGCACUUUGAUUACAAGGUUCAAAUGUCCUGUCUACACAUAUAAGUUCAUGUCUACAUACAGACAAUACAAGUUCAACGUUACCCAUUGUAAGAUAUAUGUUGGUUCAUAUGAAUGUCCUUUUUCAUUUUAUUUGUCUGUUUCUUUUGCAUUUCUCUUUUCUAGUUUACACAACCAUACGAGCAAAAUUAUACCGGGAACAAAAAACCAAAAUAUUGCAUCUCAGCAUCUCCAAAACCUUUAAAAUUGAUAUUUAACCUCUAAUGUAUUCCCCCAACAUAAGUAGGAUUAGAUUUCAAAUCCUCUGAACUUUUUAUGAUCACAAUUGUGAAUUUUCUUGUCACAGGGAUCUGACCAGAAUUUAUUUUCUUCAACAGGGGCAUGGCAGUUCUUAUGGAAAUUGGUACUGCAAUUGUUACAAAGCUAGCUGAGUACACGGUUGGGCCAGUUAUACGCCAAGUGGGUUAUGUAAUCUGCUACAAAAACAACCUCGAAGAACUACAGACUCGAGUUCAUGAGUUGGGUGAUACCAGAGAAAGCGUGAAGCAUGCUGUUGACACAGAGGAAAGAAAAGGUAAAAAGGUUGAAACAAGAGUCCAGAACUGGAUGACUGAAGUAGUUCGGCUGACUAAGGAAGCAGAUGACGUGAUAGAUAAACACCUCGCACAGACUAAAGAAGCAGAUGACGUGAGAGAUAAACACCUCGCACAGACUAAGGAAGCAGAUGACGUGAGAGAUAAACACCUCGCACAGACCAAGUGUUUAAUCGGCUUUUGUCCUAAUCUAAAGCUUCGUCAUCAUCUGGGCAGGAAAUCAAAAAGAUUGGUUCUAGAGGUGGCAGAGCUUGAGAAGAAGCAGCCGAAUUUUGAUAAUAUUGCAUAUGUUGCUCCCCUAGAAGAGGUGUGUAUCCAAGAUUAUGAGGCAUUUGCCUCAAGGACUUCAACUGCGAAGGCUGUGAUCAACGAACUCAGAAAUCCUAAUACCCACAUGACUGGGGUGUACGGUAUUGGGGGUGUCGGAAAGACAACCCUUGUCAAAGAAGUUUAUCAUCAAUUAGCUGCAAGAAGUGACAAGCUGUUUGAAGAGGUAGUUAUGGUACUCGAUCUGAAACGGAAUCCCAGCAUCGAGCGAAUUCAGAAAGCAAUUGCUGAAAAGUUAGACCUCGAGCUUCCUGAAAGUGGGACCCCAGCUGGAAGAGCAAGAUUAAUAAGUAACAGGAUAAAAAACAAGAAGACUCUUGUGAUCCUAGAUGAUGUCUGGGAGAACAUUGAUUUGGUGGCUGUUGGCCUUCCUCGCAUGGCAACUCUCAAAAUUUUGUUGACUUCACGAAGCAAGCUAGUAUUAGCUUCAGACAUGGGUACACAAAAUGAGUUUCCUCUCAAAGUAUUGAACAAAGAAGAAACUUGGAGAUUAUUUAAGAAAAUGGCGGGUGAUAUUGUUGAAAAGCCGGACAUACAAACUAUAGCAGCCAAAGUGGCUGAGAAAUGUGGAGGUUUGCCGCUUUUGAUAGUGACUGUUGCAAGAUCUCUGAAAGAUAGUCCAUUACAUGACUGGAAAGAUACUUUCAGACGACUGAAGAAGUUUGAUGGAAAAGGACUGGAAGAUAAAACAUACUCUGCUAUAGAGUGGAGUUACGAUAAAUUGAAUAGUGAGGAGCUUAAGUCGGUAAUUUUGCUUUGCGCAAGUGAGGUUGGGAGUGCCAAUGAUGUUAAUAUCCUUGACUUGUUGAAAUACAGUAUGGGGCUGGGUUUCAUAAAGAAUGUAGAUACAAUGGAAGAAGCACGGGAUGCCUUGAAUUCACUGAUUAAGAAGCUUCAGUAUUCUUGUCUGUUGCUAGAUACAGAUGAUAAGCAAUGGGUCAGAAUCCAUGAUCUUGUCAAACAUGUUGCUCAACAUAUUGCUGCUAGAGAUCACCAUGUGUUAUCAGUAUCUUAUGGAAGUGAGUUGAAAGACUGGCCAGAUAAGGAAUUCUGCAAAAAGUGCACUAGGAUCUCUCUCAUGAAAUGCCAAACUCCCGAGCUACCUCAAGUUCUGCAAUGCCCAGAACUAACAAUGUUUCAUUUAAGCAGUGUUGAUGUUGACUCCCGUGAAAUCCCAAGCAACUUUUUUAAAGAGAUGAAUAAGCUCAAAGUGUUGGAUUUGACAAAACGGAGUAUAGCAUCACUACCUCCAUCUCUUAAAUGCCUCAAAGAUCUUCAGACAUUGUGCUUGGAUUCAUGCACGUUAGGAGACGUUGCUUUUGUUGGUGAGCUACAUAACUUGAAGAUGUUGAGCUUUUUAUAUUCCAAGUUCAAACAAUUACCGGAGGAAAUAGGAAAAUUAACUAGUCUACAAUUGUUGGAUUUGACCGGGUGCUCGCAACUCGAAGUAAUCUCACCUCAUGUUAUAUCCAAGUUGAUACGACUUGAAGAGUUGAGAAUGGGUAAACAUAGCUUUAACAUAUGGGAGGCUGGAAGAGUCGGCGAUGCUAAAAGAAGUAAUGCAAGCCUUGAAGAGCUAAUGUGUUUGCCCCGGCUAACUGCAUUACAAAUACAUGUCCCAGAUGCUAACAUUCUUCCAGCAGAUUUGUUCACCACUAGUAAGUUGGAGAGAUUCCAAAUAUGUAUUGGUUCUAUGUGGAAAUGGGAUGAUGUUGAUGAAGCUCUCAAUGCACUAAAGCUCAAUCUCACUACCAACAAAGAAUUGGACCCAGGUCUAAAAAUGUUGCUCGAAAGAACUCAAGACUUGUACGUGGAAGGGAUGGAAGGUGUUAACGAUAAGUUUUUCCAUGAGCUAGCCACAGGGGGUUAUCAGCAAUUGAAACAUCUACAUGUUCAAAACAAUGCUAAAUUUGCAUACACCGUUAAUACGAAGGUACGCUCCGGAGCAAAUAGUUAUUUUUUAACAUAGUGAUUGUCCAACUACAUUUAGUUGAUGGGUUAUUCAUCUAAAGUAAAUAAUGUAAUUAUACAUGCAAUUUGUCAUUUCCUAAACUUGAUUAUUACCAGGUUGGUUUUCCUAACUUAACAUGGUUGGCGGUGAGUGAGGUCAACAGUUUAAGAUAUUUGUUAUCAUCUUCAAUGGCUAGAAGUUUAUCACAACUGAAACGUCUUCAGAUAUCCGGAUGUCAAAUCAUGGAAGUGAUCAUUUUAAUAGAAGAAUCUAGUCAAGAAAUUGCAGAGAACUUCUUUCCCCAACUACAAGAUUUGGAGCUAAAAGGGCUUCCAAACCUCACUAAAUUCUGCACAACAAGUUACGUUGACUUGCCAAAUCCAUCCUGUAAGAGAUUGCGAUUAGAUAGUUGUACUGAAAGUGGUGGAAUCUGUGAAGAAGUUGAAGAGAUUGACGCAGAAGGAAACCUUGAUAUUGUGAUACAACACUUUCUUUUUGAAAAUAAGGUGAACAAAUACAUGUAUUUUCUUACCUAUUUCUUUUACCUUGAUAUAUAGAAUUUUAACUUAUUCUCUAAGUGACAGUUUUCAAGGGACUGUGAGGGACAAGUGAUUCAGGCUUUUUCAUACAUGCGGUUAAGAUUCAUUUGUCCUUUAUAGUCUUUUAAAAACCGUCUCUUGUGUAAACAAACAUGUCUCUAUAAGUAUCAGUUUGUUACAUAUUAUUGGUUAGCGGAUCCAUAAAUAAGAUGAAUAUCAUGUAUAUGCAGGUAGAGUUUCCAAACUUGGAGAAGUUAUAUCUUAAUGGACUAGCAAAGUUGACGACAAUAUGGAACCAUCAACUUUCUCUAGGGAGUUCAAAAAACCUAGAGACAAUAGAGAUUGUUUUAUGUGACAAUUUGAAGAGUAUUUUUCCAUCCUCAGUGGCCAAAAGUCUUCAACAGUUGAGGAGUCUAAAAGUGGAAAAUUGUGGGGUGGAGGAAAUCAUCUCGAAAGAGGAUGAUGUACAUACAACACCUACGUUUGUUUUCUCAAAACUAACAUAUGUGAGAUUUGAAAAUUUGCCCCAACUUGAGAGUUUCUAUCCAGGAUUGCAUUAUUUGGAGUGGCCGUCACUCUUAACUUUGCUGGUGUAUCGUUGUACUAAGGUGCAUAUAUUUGCGAAGGGAACACGUGAAUGGAAGAAUCCAUGCACUCCAAAAAAACAGUCGUUGUUUUUGCUUGAGAAGGUACUAAUAUAAACUUUCACUAUAAUAAUUCCUACUCGUAUAAUCUAUAUAUAUAUAUAUAUAUAUGUGUGUAUAUAUAUGUAAAUAAGCACCUGCUUAAAUUCACCGUUCAAAGCCACGAACAAAAAUGAAUGUUUGAGGUUGUUGCUCUAUAUAAAAUAUUUAUUAAUUCUAAUUACUAACUAGUAAUUAUGUAAUUGAUAUUUCAGGGUUCAUUCCCCAACUUGGAAGAUUUAGGCUUGGGCAUUAUGGAGAAUUGGGAUAGUCCGCCACUCCACUUGUUUAAGACACUAAAAUCUCUUUAUACUUACGCACACACCAACUCAACUUUAAAUUCCCUUGAGAAAUUACUUGGUCUUGAAAAAGUCAAUGGAGAAGAAAUACAUGCAGCUACGGAUGGGACCUUCCCAGUUUUAAGAGAGUUGCACCUUUGCGGGAUGCAGAAGGUGAUGAAUCUUGGGGAUGAUAGCUCCGGAUCAGCAGCUCCAUAUUUCCCCAUAGUGGAAAUUCUGGAGAUAGCGGACUGUGAAAGCUUAAAGAAUUUAAGAUCACCAGCAAUAUCCUUCAACAAUCUAACAACUCUGCAAGUAAGUCGUUGUAAGGGAUUGAAAUACUUGAUAUCUUUCUCCAUGGCCAAAAGUUUGAUGCAACUCACUACACUAGAAGUUUGUGAUUGUGAGGAGAUGAUAGAAAUAGUUGCAAGCAAUGGAAAUGACGGAUCAGAAAAUGAGAUUGAAUUCAAGGUGUUGAAACAAUUGGAACUAUCUGCUCUACCGAGUCUGAGAGGUUUCUGCUCGAAAACUCGCAUUGUCAAAUUUCCAUUACUGGAAAAUUUAUUGAUGACCGGUUGUUCUGAACUGGAAGGAUUCAUCUUUGAUCCUACGGAUAAAAGUACACUUGGCAACAAUGUGAAAGACACCAGCUCACAUGAAAACACUGAUAAUGGAGUAGUGCAACGAUUCCUUUUCGACAACAAGGUGAACUAACUAAUAAUACUCAACUUUCUUUACCAAUUUAAUUCAGAUCAUAUCUGCAUAGCUUCAUUUCCACAGUUGUAAAUUUUUAUACAGGUUGAAUUUCCGAAGUUGACGAGUUUGUCUCUCAAGGGUCUAACCAAGUUGACCACAAUAUGGAAUACACAAAUACAGGAGACAUCAGCAGCACCACAGCCGAGAACUUUUGAUUGUGAGAAUCUAGAAUAUGUGGAGAUUGAUACGUGUGAGAGUUUGAAAAGCAUUUUUCCAUUGUGUGUGGCUAGAAAUCUCCAGGAGUUAAAAAGUCUCAUAGUGAAGAAUUGCGAAGUGAAGGAAAUCGUUGCAAGAGAGGAGGGAACACAAACAAUAUUUAAAUUUGUGUUUCCAAAAGUAACAUUUGUGAUGUUUGAGAAGUUGUCCCAGCUCAUAAACUUCUACCCCGGGAUGCACGUCUGUAGCUGGCCAUUGCUUAAUGAUUUGGGAAUGUAUGAAUGCGACAAAGUGGACAUAUUUGCUAAAGAAAUUUCUAGUUUCCAACAAAAGCGUGAGGUGCAAAGUUACAGUACUCCUCCUCUACUUGAUCGGCAAUCUUUCUUUUCUGUUGACAAGGUACAAUUAUUUCAUAUACUUUUCUUCGUUAAUUUUCUCUCUGCAUCCAAAUUUUAAUCUGAUUUGUCUGUUAUAUAUGUUUUGACUAUAUUUUAGGAUUCAUUUCCCAACUUGGAGCGGUUGGGCUUGAAUGCAAUGGAGUUCUCCAAUGGUCCACUCCCGGCAGCAGCGCAGUUGUUUGGCAAACUAAAGAAACUGGAUGUUUGUUGUCCAGAGUCCAAGUCACUUGUUUUCCUUGACAAAUUACUCCUCGACCCAGCUGAAGGAAACAGCUCUGCUAGUGCGGUUGAGAUAAGGACCCAGCAGCUCCCGCAUUUGAAAGAGUUGCGGCUUGUUCGAAUGAAGAAGCUGAUGCAUCUAGGCCAAGAGGAUAGGGAGGAUAACUCACGAUCGGCCCCUCGUAUCCCAAAUAUUCCGAACCUGGAAAUUCUAGUCGUGAACGGUUGUCACAGCUUAAGGAAUCUGAGAUCCUCCGCAAUAUCCUUCAACAACCUAACAAAUUUACAAGUAAGUUGGUGCUUGGAAUUGAAAUACUUGAUAACUUACUCCAUGGCCGACAAUUUGAUGCAACUCACAACACUGGAAGUUGAGGGGUGCCAAAGACUGGUGGAAAUAGUGGGAAGCAAUGAUGACCACGAUUCAACAGAUGAUGAGAUUACAUUCCCAAGGUUGAAACAUCUGAAACUAUCUUAUCUACCAAGACUGCAGGGAUUUUGCUCCGGAAAUUGCCUCGCUAAAUUCCCGUCCUUGGAAACUUCAACCAUGAGCAACCGCCUGAAAUUCAAGAUUUUUGCAACUGAUGAUCAAUCGAUACGGCUAACCAACGAAGAGGGAGACACAGAUGUCGAUGCUGCGGGUAAGUCUUAAUUCAUCGUUCAUGGUUAAUGUUCUGUAUGUUCCCGGUGCCCUUAUCAUGGAAAUUUGUAUACGAAAUGCUGAUUUACGACAAUAUGUGAUAUUCCUAGAAGAGGAGCUGACUGCUGAGGAUGAAAUUAAUUCGGCAAAUACUGAUUUGAUAUCUCAACCACGUUUCACCGUAAGUAAACCUUCUUUGGGUUAUAUCUAUAUACACAAUAAAGAGUUUCCCGCUUGAUUCUACCUUCAAUGUUGUUAUUACUUAUUAGCUGUUCUAACAAAAUUUCGUACUCAACCUUACAGAUACCAGUGCUCCACAUUUCUUCAAUUGCUCAUCUUUUCUGGUCUAACAUAAGUGGAAGAUUGUUCACCAAAUUGUGCAGUCGUGGCCGGGUUAAACUUACGGCGUGGGCUACGCGCAUCAAGUGUUUUGAGAAAAUGCUUGUGUGGGGAAUUUGCUGCAUUUCAAUUCUUAUGCUUCUAUUGAUUUACAUGUGCCCAAGUAUUACUUCUUCUACUUGGCAAUAAAAGAAAAACGAAGAACAUGACAGAAGAACAGAGUGAUUCAUAUUGGAGCUCUCCUCAUUGUUGUGCAACCGAGAGCUCUGUACCUUCAGUCUGGUAGUUUUUCUUUCAGCUUAAUAUGUUACUGUAAUUGCUGAUUUAGAAAUCUUCAUUUGUUAGCUGCGUUUUGCACUUUAUCUCUUUGCUUAAUUGACUGUGAACGAGGCUUCUAGUAAGAAGGGAGAAUAAGUUUGGAUCCAGUGUCUUAGUGAUUUUAAUUGUACGAGUCAAUCACCCGCGCCCUGCUGCGGGCUAGUAGCUAUUCAGUUUUUGUAGGUACCAUUAUCUUUACAAACAUGGCAAUCAUAAGUAUAGUUAGUUGAUCACAAAAUAAGCAAAUGAUCAAAGUAUUGGAACCAUAAGUGAAUUUAACUUGUAGGAGUUAGAACGCACAACCUAUUAAGGGAUGGCUCAUACAUGGGACCAAGAAGGUUCCUUGAUAAAUUUAUUGCAGAAAGCUUGGAAUGUUCCUAAGUAUUGAUGGUCAAUAUGGUAAAAAGUGAAAAAUGGCAUGAAAGAAGUAAAUAAAAGAAGUAACACAACUGACAGGGGCAUACAUGUCUUUUUAAGCAGAACAAUGACAGAUUUUAAAUAAGAUGCAUUAACGGGUAACACUGUCAUUUCACUAAACAGUGCCAACUCCUUAAUAUUAUUAGAGCAGAUGCAACAAUGAGUUAGUUUGAUGGUUAGAUCAAGCUAGAGGACUAAAAACACAAUCCACCAGGAAGAAAUUAGAUCGGGUUAAACGUGGGUAUCAUGUGGAGCCUACCUAAUCUGACUAAAGCAUCGGGUGAGGAUUAACCCAAGUAUUAGUCCAGACCAAUUUAACUGUGGGGGCUCAAACAUGUGCUAAUUGAUCCACUGAUGACAAUGAUUUUGCCACUUGCACCCAAACAUGUCUUUAAUUUGGGUCAUUCGAUCAAAAUCAGAUGGAUCACCUUUAAAGGCCACAUACAUUCUUUUUUUUUUUUUCUCAAGUAACCAUGUUUAAUUUAUUUUUAAAAAAUAUGAAUAAUAGUUGGUCCUCAUAUUGAUCACAUUGUUGUAUUGUACAUUCGAGGACCAAAGACUUAUUUAAAUGAACCCGAGGUGAAAAUUACUCUAACUCAACCCAAGAUGGCUGCAUUUGCUGUUAUAUAUAGAGAAAAUGACCUAUGCAUAAAAACAGGCAAAUUAAAGCUUAUUUAAAUAAAAAAAUUUUCUUGUGCCCAUUCAACUUAAACUGAAUUAAAAUACGAAUAGACUCCUAAUGAAAUAAUAGAACUACCACCCCCACUCACUCUCUCUCUCUCUUCUCGACGAUAACUAACGAUGCCUCAUUGACGCCGACACCGUGGCUUCACGGCCUCCCUUCUCCGCUGCCGAUCCCGGUUGGAAUCAACAACGCCGACGUCGCCGCCACACUGCCUGUGUCCUCUCUAUCCUCUCACUUUCAGUCUUUGUUGGAAUCAAUGAGGCGGUGAGCGUCGCCGGAGUCACGGGAGAGCAUCGUCGAUGUCAUAGAAUCUGAGGUCGUAGCUUCAGUGCUCGCGAUCGAGGCUCGAAAGAAUUGAUCGAAUUGAGACGAAGUAAUCGAAGAGUUUGCAGAAGUUGUCAAGGAAUUUGCAGAACUUGGAGCGCUUUAGGAGGUCUAGAUGUAUCAAUUUUAGAUUUUCAGUCUAGUCUUGUUCGUUUUGUUGCCAAGGUUUAGAUCUGAGAGUUUUUAAUUUAAUUUUGCCAUUUCUGGUGGUAAAGUGAUAUGGAUUUUUGUGAGGAAGUGAGGUAGUGCUUUGGAGUAUGGUGAAAGUACAAAGCUACGUGUGUGAUUAGAUUGAGCUUAAUUAGGACUGGCUGAUUGUUGUGUGUACUUAGGGUGCGUUUGGUGCAGCUUAUAAGCUCUUGGACUUAUAAGCAAGGAUGAAGUUGUUGUUUGGUAAACACAUAAAUAAGCUCCUUUUUAAACAAGUCGGGUCUAUUUUUCAGGUAAAAGGAGAAGGAAGGCAACCCCUCCUUUCACUUAUAAGGAGAAGUCAGAAAAACGCGGUACUGUAGCUGCGAAUUAAUGAAAUUUUCGAAAUGGCAAUGGGUACCCUUGUAAACUUCAACAAAUUACAAGGGAGCCGCCUCCAUCGCGUCUCAACUCUCUCACUCUCUGCUCGCUCCUCCGUUUCUUCAACAUCAACGCGUCGAAGAUCUCGGCACCUCUUCAUCGCUGCUGAUGUUGGCCGUCGCGAUCUUCGUCAACAAGUUCCCCUGAGUCUUCUCCGCCACAAGUAUCUCUUCCUCCGGCGCCUUCGACCCCCGGUCCAUCGUCCUCGCCGUCUCCGGCAUGUCAAUCUCGUCGGAAUCCCACCAUCCAGAUCUUCAUCAACACUCCCUUCACAGCACUCUGUCCGUCGUCGGGGACGAAACCUGGCCGGGAGAAAUAUCUUAUAUCCUAGUUGCUGUUUUAAUAUGGGUAUGAUUGAUCGAAUCCUUAAUUAUUGAAUGUAUACACUUGCUUCAGUAUGUCUUAUUUUUCUUGGGUAGAUUGUUGAAUUGAUAUGUCUUGGGUAUGUGCCUUCGUCUUUGAAAGGGGGUUCUUCUGUUUGCUGCAAGUCUAGGUGCGAGGAUAGAGNNNNNNNNNNNNNNNNNNNNNNNNNNNNNNNNNNNNNNNNNNNNNNNNNNCCGGAGGAGGGUGGUGGUGGUUUAGAAGAAGAAGAAGAAGUGUGGUGGUGAAGAAGACGAAGAAGAAGGAAGAAGAAGAAAAGUGGAGGGAAAGUUUUGGCAGAAUGAUUCAAAAUUCCAAAUUUUUGGCGGAAAUGACCUAUAUGUGACGAAAUAAAAAAUUUCGUCGCAUGAGUGAAAAAUUCAAAUUUUUUGGCAUAAGUGAGGACUUAUGCUACAAAAUAAAAAUUCGUCGCAUGAGACCCAACUUAUGCGACGAAAUUGAAAAAUUCGUCUCAUAAGUGAGACCCAACUUAUUUCGUCGCAUAAGUUCUCACUUAUGCGACGAAUUUUUCAAUUUCGUCGCAUAAGUUUUCACUUAAGAGAGGAAACCAGUUUCGUCUCAUAAGUGCUCACUUAAGAGACGAAAAAUAAUUUCGUCUCUUAAGUUGUUACUUAAGCGACGAAUUUGAAAAAUUUCGUCUCUUAAGCCUUUUUUCCUAGUAGUGUUAUAAUAGCUUUGCAGGAUUGAAUUCUUAGAUUCAUGGCGUUUGUUGAAAGAAACUUCAAAUUGUAUGGUCGAAAACUUGAAAUAGAUAAUUUGACACAUUUGGAAUCAUCUUUUUCUGUUUUCAAAUAUGUGAAUGCUUUCUGCAAAUAUGUCCUACUGAUUAUGAGGUUCUUUUGUCAAUGACUCGAAAAGUGGUUUAGAUAGUUAGAUGAACAGCUUUACAAUAGCAAAUUGAGGUAAACUGGACAGGAGCAAUUAGGUAGUUAGAACUGAUAUGAUUCAGGAGCAAUAGGGGUAUGUGCAGGAGUACAAACAUGAGCUAGAAGUAGGAGCUUGAGAAGCUCAGGGUUUAGGACCAUAGCUGGUACUAGCUUCCUCAAAAUUUGUAUCCCCUGAAAAACUUGCCUCUGCCAAUUCCCUCAGUUUCUUCAGAUCACUUUUCGGCUCUAGUUUCUGUCCCUUUAGCUGUUUUGCUUCCACUGCUCUCUGCAUACCUAGUGUAGUCUCGGGAGUAGAGGAACUGCUGUCAUCUGUAGAACAUUAGGGCCAGGUGAUCCAGGACUGAGUGUAGGGACUACAGUUGCAGUCAUAGCGCUAAUAGUGUUACUGCCUGGUGCUCUCAUAUCCCUCCUUUCUGAUUUUGCAUCUGGACCUGGAGGCAGACCUGUUGGUAUGACUCUUGGAAGUUGCUUCUUUGGAAGGAAUGGGAUGAGAAGGCCCUUAAUAGCAGGAAACUUCAAACCAAGUUUGAAUGCAUUCUUUAGAGGCUGUGAGAAUCUUAAUAGGAACUUCAUCAAGGCAUACCACUCGUUGAUAAUAGGAACUUCACCACCUUCAUUAGAUCGUCCCUUUCGUCCAUGUUCUAUACUGACUUUUAGACACCCUCUGCCUUUAUCGUAAUUCAAGUUCCUAGCCAAAAGAUAUAGGUUCACACUUCAUAUGCAAACCUUAAAGCACUUCCAGGUUACAAGCUGGUUUCUUGGAUAAUUCAACUUGUUUCCUAAGCAUAGAUGUGAAUGUUUGAACAAUGAGAAACAAAAUCAUGAGCAAGGUAAAGAGGAUGGCUUGGGUUUGACAGAGAGGGCGAGAAUCUGCUUCUUUGCUUGUUUGGACAGAAAAUGAAUUUGCAGUGUCGUACGCGCCAUGGCCUCCAUUUUGGACAUCUUCAACAGUCCAGGUGCCUUUUUCUCUUCUUUGGGUAGAGGUACGAUUCAAGUCGUGAAUCUGAAAUAUCCAAUUGGGUUUUGGUUCUCAAUUUGUUUGUUUUCUUUGUUUAGGUGCUCCGAAGCAACCAAAUGGGAACAAACGACGAGGUAAAUUUCAUUCAUGUCUUCUCUUGUUGGGAUUUUUUUUGGUGGAGUGCGGAAUUUGUUUGAAUGUGAUUUCAAUUUGGUGUUGCCGUAAAUGUGUUUAUGAUUUUGGUUGGUUUUUGUGAUUUCAAUGGUGAUUGCAUUUCUAUUUCAGUUUCUCAUUGAUAGUACCAUUUUUAAGUGACCGAUAAACUUAGUAGGAUUCUUUGCUUUAUAUGUAUGCAUGUUUGAUAAAAUUUACUUUAAAAUGCACACUGUAUACUGUAUCUGGGUAUGUGUAUCCAUAUCUCUUUUAAGGUAGUCAUAUGCUUCUCCUUCCAUUAUCUUGCUUCUAGAUAUGCCUGUAGUUUCCUUGGACAAGGAAUGAAACAAAUAACAAGAAAUCUUAGAAGCUAAAGCAUUAGAGUAGGUGGACAAGUCCAAAGUUGCCAGGGUGUUCUAAAUUUCCCAUGCAAGAUUAAGUUUUUAGAUGUUUCUUAUAGAUAGUCUGUGAUUAUUUUGAGGCCUUGAAGGGAAUUGUCCUCCAUCGAAUAUGUGAGGUCACAGUGACAUUGCUUGCUUCAUCAGAUGAGAACUCUGAAAUAUUGGCUUUGAUCUUUGAUAAGAAUUCGCUUGCUUAUGCCUUAAAGGUAGAUGUCCAGGAAAUCUUUGAUCAUUUGUUUGCUAUAUUUUUGAUAGCUAUAUGGAUGUUAGUUGAUCUGUUUACUGAUCUUGAUUGAUGUUAUUAAUGCAUGUGCGAAGGAGGAGGAUCCGAGUAUCUGAAGAUAUGAUUGGUUCUCGUUUCAAGUUCAAGGUUCAAAACUGCUGGAGGUCAGGUUCGUUGUUUUAUUGAUUGAUGAGUGUAUAGUUGAUUGUUACUAUGGUUAUUAAAGCUUACCCUAGAAUGGUCAAACUAAACUCCGGUUCUUAUGGUUGUGGAGUGGUGAAUUUGAUAGCUUUGAGAGUGUAUUGUUAGUGUGUCUGUUUCUAAAAGAUGUUCAUGUUAUGUCCCUGAUUAUUUGUUAGAAAUCAAAUGGGCUGUAACUGCAAAUAGGUUUUUUCUGUUUCAACAACAUUCUCUUUGUCAAACAGGUCUUGAGGAGCUUCACCAUAGGCAUUGAUAAGUUUUGGAUCGCACUGUAUUGGCAAUGUUGCUUCUUGGCAGGUUGAUCUAUUUCGGUAACCUUGUGUAAGUUUCACACUUUCAAACAGGACUAUAAGUUAUUUCAUGUCCAAGUGAAGUUAUUCUGUUAUUUUCUCAUUGUGCUUUGAGGGUUCAAAAAGUUUGUGUAAAAAUCAUCAUUUUUAUGUUGGAAAAACAGAAAGCCAAUCUCCUUAAUAAGAAAGAUUGAAUUCUAAACUUGAUUGAACUAGCUUGAUCACAUGAAAAGAAAAAAGCUUCUCAUAGAAAUUUGAUGUUGGGUGCGUGCAUAUCCAUACAAGUCAACUAUUUUCAUUUUAUGCCCAAAAGAGGAAAUCAGAUGAUAAAGUUGGAGUUACGAUAACCACAGUGGUCGUCAUCUUCUGUUGCUUUUCGUUUGCUUGCAGCACCUCUGCUGCUAACUGAAUCCAUUUACGAGUAGAGUACCUUCUGUUUUUCUUUGGACCAAUGUAUUGUUUUGCUGUUUGCUUUGGUUUUGUGUAAAUCACUUUGUUUUUAUUUUUUUGGCUUUUCGGUUUUGAAUUCAAAAUUCAUAUUCUUUUUUCACAUUCUGAAUCUCUUGUUAAUCAUUUGCUGGAAUGUUUUUCUUUAAAUGGAAAAGACUUGCAUUUUCUCCUUCUUCUUUUUUAAUAUGGUAACUACUAAUUAAUUAGAAAAUGAGAAAUGAUGAUUUGCAUCAUAUUUUAUAUCUGAUAUCGGUUACGAGGAUUCCAGUCAUGAAGCUAAUUCAUCAAGGUGUAUGCUAAUAUACCAUACAGUUAUCCUUCAUUUAUGAAGUUUAGGGACACAUUCAAAAUAAGAAAAUAAGUCAACAGACUCAUUUUGCUGUUGAAGGAAAAUUUAUGAACAUAGAAUUUAUGUGAUUACUACUCAUAUUUUAGCUUGAAGUAACUGGGAACAGAAUAACGUGGUUUAUUGUGUGUCAGUUACAGUUUGGAGUUUGUAGAUAUUGACCUGUGAAUGUGCUGAAAGUAUGAGAGAUUGCUGAAGAAUUUUGAAUGUAACUACUCUGCUUUUUGGGUUUUGCACUUUAUAUGCAUUUUAUCAAAGCCUCCCAAGGUAUGUGCAUUUUAUCAGGGGGCAUGCGUCUACCAGAGCCUGAGAUGUACUACUUCAUGAACUGCGUUCUGCGUUCGAACUGCCCUGCAGUCCUCACGUUAUGUGGGUCUUGCCCAUGCUGGUCACAAUGUAGCCCACGGAAAGCCCUCCAAGGAACCGCUUUGUUACCAUGUUUCAGAAGUACUUGUUUUUUUGAGAAGAUCAGAAGUACUUGUUGCGCGGUACCGAUUGCAUCUACCACUGUUUCCUUUUUCUUUAAUUAGUUCUCAUGGUACAUGUUUGUGAGCAAAUAACUACAUGCAAGGCAGUUACAGGCUGCAUAUCAGUAACAUUUGUCGCUAGGACUAGGUAGGUGAAAAAGAAAACAAACUUUACAGUUUAUUAAAGCAAUGGAAAUACAACAAUCCAUACUUACUAUCAAAUACACGCACAAGUUAUACGACUUUUCCAACACAAAACUAGCAGUUCUUUAAGUAGCAGAAACAAAUAAAAAAAAAAAAAACAGAAUCCGUCACACACAAGCCAAGGACUCGAUAUAUCGAUAAUUACGCUGACCAACUCGUUGCAAAGAAUCAUCAACGCCGGCUUGAGGUGUUAAGUCGAACGAUUUGAAGGUGUUACUCUUAACAUUGUACGAGAAGACUUUUCCAGGAGCAUGCAGCAACAGAGAUGAACUUUCCUCUUCAUUUUCCCCUUUAGCAAGAAAGAGAACACAAAACACCUUAAAGCGUGGGUAAGCAGUGCAUAAAAGAUCAAGAUCCACAUUGUACUUGACAAACCACCCAGAGUAGUCUCUUCCCAUCUCCAACACUUCAAAUUUAGUAAAAGAAGGCGAAUAAAUAUCAAUAAGAUGCAAAUGGCCGUCCCUCGACUCCUUAAAGUAUCUAUACUCCCUAGUUUCCCAGUUCUCCUCACAACGAGGAAGACCAUCAACCAAUCCAACACGCUCUUCAUCUAAGUGAUAAUAUGCCAUCUCACA
RNAcentral lists this long non-coding RNA (36851 nucleotides) under Fragaria vesca (wild strawberry). Its description in RNAcentral is "long non-coding RNA (FVES_LNC003246)". The record is from RNAcentral. Lineage: Eukaryota; Viridiplantae; Streptophyta; Magnoliopsida; Rosales; Rosaceae.